GACGAACGCUGGCGGCGUGCUUAACACAUGCAAGUCGAACGGAAAGGCCCUGCUUUUGUGGGGUGCUCGAGUUGCGAACGGGUGAGUAACACGUGAGUAACCUGUCAUUCACUUUGGGAUAUCUUCAGGACACUGGGGCUAAUACCGGAAAGGAGCUCCCGCUGUUUGGUGGGGGUUGGAAAGUUUCGGUGGUUGGUGAUGGACUCGCGGCCUAUCAGCUUGUUGGUGGGGUAGUGGCUUACCAAGGCUUGGACGGGUAGCCGGCCUGAGAGGGUCACCGGACACAUUAGGACUGAGAUACGGCCCGGCCUACAACGGGAGGCAACGGUGGGGAAGAUUGCACAGUGGGCGGAAGCCUGAUGCGGCAACGCCGCGUGGGGGAUGACGGCAUUCGGGUUGUAAACCGCUUUCGCCUGUGACGAAGCGAGAGUGACGGUAAUGGGUGAAGAAGCACCGGCUAACUACGUG
RNAcentral lists this ribosomal RNA (468 nucleotides) under uncultured bacterium. Its description in RNAcentral is "partial 16S ribosomal RNA". It matches the Rfam family "Bacterial small subunit ribosomal RNA", at positions 28 to 507 of the family's 1533-position model. The record is from RNAcentral.